UCCGUGUGUCCGUCGUCGAGUACGUCUACGAGAGGUUUGAUUACUGGCUCAGGAUUAACGCUGGCGGCAUGCCUAAUACAUGCAAGUCGAAUGGUUAGCUUGCUAACCAUGGCGAACGGGUGAGUAACACGUAGGUAACCUGUCUUCAAGACGAGGAUAACCAUUGGAAACGAUGGAUAAUACUGGAUAGGACAAAUCCCCGCAUGAGGAGAUGUUUAAAGGAGCAAUCCACUUGAUGAGGGGCCUGCGGUGCAUUAGCUAGUUGGUGAGGUAAAGGCCCACCAAGGCGAUGAUGCAUAGCCGGACUGAGAGGUUGAACGGCCACAAUGGAACUGAGAACGGUCCAUACUCCUACGGGAGGCAGCAGUAGGGAAUUUUCGGCAAUGGGCGGAAGCCUGACCGAGCAAUGCCGCGUGAACGAUGAAGUAUUUCGGUAUGUAAAGUUCUUUUAUUUGGGAAGAAAAACAAAUUGACGGUACCAAAUGAAUAAGCUCCGGCUAACUACGUGCCAGCCGCCGC
Molecule: ribosomal RNA, 519 nt
Filed under: uncultured bacterium
Lineage: Bacteria
Description: bacterial SSU rRNA
Rfam family: Bacterial small subunit ribosomal RNA
Source: RNAcentral